CGCUGGGUAGCUCAAGCGGUAGAGCGUUCUCUCUCCAGAGAGGGGAAGGUUGGUGGUUCAAGUCCAUCCCUGGCGGCCA
Molecule: transfer RNA, 79 nt
Rfam family: tRNA
About the family: Transfer RNA (tRNA) molecules are approximately 80 nucleotides in length.